GACGAACGCUGGCGGCGUGCUUAACACAUGCAAGUCGAACGGGAUGAUCUUAAAGCUUGCUUUUAGAGAAUCUAGUGGCAAACGGGUGAGUAACACGUAGACAACCUGCCGACAGGAUGGGGACAACAUUCCGAAAGGAAUGCUAAUACCGAAUGAAGUCAGAGGAGGGCAUCCUCCUCUGAUGAAAGGUGGCCUCUUUUUAUGCUAUCACCUGUUGAUGGGUCUGCGUCUGAUUAGCUAGUUGGUGAGGUAACGGCUCACCAAGGCGACGAUCAGUAGCCGGUCUGAGAGGAUGAACGGCCACAUUGGGACUGAGACACGGCCCAGACUCCUACGGGAGGCAGCAGUGGGGAAUCUUCCGCAAUGGGCGCAAGCCUGACGGAGCAACGCCGCGUGAGUGAAGAAGGUCUUCGGAUCGUAAAGCUCUGUUGACGGGGACGAACGUGCGGAGUGCGAAUAGCACUUNGUAANGACGGUAC
RNAcentral lists this ribosomal RNA (479 nucleotides) under uncultured bacterium. RNAcentral's name for it is "bacterial SSU rRNA". It matches the Rfam family "Bacterial small subunit ribosomal RNA", at positions 28 to 478 of the family's 1533-position model. The record is from RNAcentral.